RNAcentral lists this ribosomal RNA (2034 nucleotides) under human gut metagenome. RNAcentral's name for it is "bacterial LSU rRNA". It matches the Rfam family "Bacterial large subunit ribosomal RNA", at positions 396 to 2438 of the family's 2925-position model. The record is from RNAcentral.
CAUAGCGGUAUCCUGAGUAACGCGGGACACGAGGAAUCCUGCGCGAAUCUGCCGGGACCAUCCGGUAAGGCUAAAUACUCCCGUGAGACCGAUAGCGAACGAGUACUGUGAAGGAAAGGUGAAAAGAACCCCGAGCAGGGGAGUGAAAUAGUUCCUGAAACCAUACGCCUACAAGCGGUCGGAGCAUCGUAAGAUGUGACGGCGUGCCUUUUGCAUAAUGAUCCUACGAGUUACCGUCACUGGCGAGGUUGAGUGUCACGAGACACGUAGCCGCAGUGAAAGCGAGCCUGAAGAGGGCGCACAGUCAGUGGGGGUAGACGCGAAACCAAGUGAUCUACACUUGGCCAGGAUGAAGUCCCGGUAACACGGGAUGGAGGUCCGCACCAAUAAGCGUUGAAAAGCUUCUGGAUGAGCCGAGUGUAGGAGUGAAAGGCCAAUCAAACUUGGAGAUAGCUCGUACUCCCCGAAAGGCAUUUAGGUGCCGCGUCGGAUGGUCACCGUGAGAGGUAGAGCGACCGAUAGGACAAGAGGGCUUCACCGCCUAUCGAGUCCUGACGAACUCCGAAUGCUCACGGUCUGCAGUCCGGCAGUAAGGGGGCGGGUGCUAAGGUCCGUCCCCGAGAGGAGAAGAAUCCAGACCGCCGUCUAAGGUCCCGGAGUUCUGCCUGAGUUAGUCUAACGAAGUCUGGUCCCUAUGACAGCUAGGAUGUUGGCUUGGAAGCAGCCAUUCAUUCAAAGAGUGCGUAACAGCUCACUAGUCGAGGGUCCGGGCAUGGAUAAUAAUCGGGUAUAAGGCAGACACCGAAGGCGCGGGAUAGCAAUUAUAAAAGUAUCGGUAGGGGAGCAUACUCACAGCGUCGAAUGGUGUACGUAAGUUAUCCUGGAGCGGUGAGUAAAGCAAAUGUAGGAAUAAGUAACGAUAAGGAGGGUUAGAUUCCCUCCCGCUGUAAGACCAAGGUUUCCCGGGCAAUGCCAAUCAGCCCGGGGUCAGUCGGGUCCUAAGUCUAAGCCGAACGGCGAUGGCGAUGGCAGAGACGGUUAAUAUUCCGUCACUGCCGCAUGGGGCGACGUGGAGACGGAGCAGUGAAACCACCGCGGGGCGACGGAAGUCCCCGUUGAAGAGUGUAGGUGUUGAGGAUGGCAGGCAAAUCCACCAUCCGAGCUGAACUUGACAGUAUGGAGUCUUCUUCGGAAGAAUCCAAUAGUGUGGGUAAUCAUACUCCCGAGAAAAUCCGCUAAGCUUAACCCAUGCGGCACCCGUACCGCAAACGGACACACGUGGUCGGGUAGAACAUACUAAGGCGUUGAGAGAUUCAUGGUUAAGGAACUAGGCAAAUUGACCCUGUAACUUCGGGAUAAAGGGUCCUCGUGAUGAGCGAGGCGCAGAGAAUAGGUCCAGGCAACUGUUUAACAAAAACACAGGGCUGUGCAAACUCGAAAGAUGACGUAUACAGCCUGACACCUGCCCGGUGCCGGAAGGUUAAGAGGAGAUGUCACUCGCAAGAGGAAGCAUUGAAUUGAAGCCCCGGUAAACGGCGGCCGUAACUAUAACGGUCCUAAGGUAGCGAAAUUCCUUGUCGGGUAAGUUCCGACCUGCACGAAUGGUGUAAUGAUCCGGACGCUGUCUCAACCAUGAGCUCAGUGAAAUUGUAGUAUCGGUGAAGAUGCCGAUUACCCGCGAUGGGACGAAAAGACCCCGUGAACCUUUACUACAGCUUAGCAUUGACCUUGGUCAUCCGAUGUGUAGGAUAGGCCGGAGGCUUCGAAGCGGGAGCGCCAGCUUUCGUGGAGCCAUCCUUGAAAUACGGCCCUUUGGCUGUCUGAGGUCUAACGCGUGAUCGCGGACACUGCUUGGUGGGUAGUUUGACUGGGGUGGUCGCCUCCAAAAGCGUAACGGAGGCUUCCAAAGGUGCCCUCGGGUCGAUUGGUAACCGACCUCAAAGAGUGCAAUGGCAUAAGGGCGCUUGACUGGGAGGCAGACAUGCCGAGCAGGCAGGAAACUGGGGCAUAGUGAUCCGGCGGAUGUGUAUGGAA